This 85-nucleotide transfer RNA is filed under the name Methanocella paludicola SANAE. Its description in RNAcentral is "tRNA-Ser (CGA) (tRNA-Ser-CGA-1-1)". It matches the Rfam family "tRNA". From Rfam's summary of the family: Transfer RNA (tRNA) molecules are approximately 80 nucleotides in length. The record is from RNAcentral. Lineage: Archaea; Methanobacteriati; Methanobacteriota; Methanomicrobia; Methanocellales; Methanocellaceae.
GCCGAGGUACUCUAACGGUAAGGGACUGGUCUCGAAAACCAGCGGUCGCAAGGCCUUAGGAGUUCAAGUCUCCUCCUCGGCGCCA